Molecule: long non-coding RNA, 133 nt
Organism: Gavialis gangeticus (Gharial)
Lineage: Eukaryota; Metazoa; Chordata; Crocodylia; Gavialidae
Exons: 3
Source: RefSeq, a predicted model, not a curated record
UGGCAAUGGAGAAAGUUCCUGGCCCUGGGGCAUGGCCUAAAACUACACCCUUCUGGGGUUGGAGGGUGUGGUGGGGCUGCCUGUGGCAAGGCAGUCUCCAGGAAAUGCCACACCAGGGGUUUCCCCAGUGAAG